CGAAAGAUAGACGGUUUAAAGGCUUUCGAUACAAUAUUAUCAAGAACAUAUCUUUUUCUCGUUGCGCAACAGAAUGUUUUCUUAGAUCCGAGUGUUUGUCAGUCUCGUAUAACACGAACAAUAUACAUUGCAAACUACAUAGUUCAGAUGACCUAGCAUUUCCAGAGAGGCUAUUGACGGAUAACGUAUCCAUCUACAUUGGAAUGUAUGCAUGGAAGAUGACAGAUGCACUUGGUGAGUGCGCUUCGAGACCCUGUCCUGUACGGACAAGGUGUACGCCAUUAAGAAACCAGAACUAUACUUGUGUAAUAACAGAGUGUGACGUGGGCGUAAAAAUUCCACACCUUACUGGUAGCUGGAAUGUUAGAAACGUGGGACGGACUAAAUCAAUCAGUUGUUCAUCCAACUAUUAUCUGAACGGAUCACAGAUCAAAAGUACAUGUUUACCAACCGGUACUUGGUCAUAUACGGACUCAAUUGAAGCAGAAUGUUUGCCAAACCCAUGAACAACAUUAGAAUUAAAGAUUUGUAUACUA
Mizuhopecten yessoensis (Yesso scallop) is the source of this 536-nucleotide long non-coding RNA. RefSeq lists it as uncharacterized. The transcript has 3 exons. NCBI's taxonomy places the organism in Eukaryota, Metazoa, Mollusca, Bivalvia, Pectinida, Pectinidae. The record is from RefSeq and is a predicted model, not a curated record.